Phalacrocorax carbo (great cormorant) is the source of this 414-nucleotide non-coding RNA. The record is from the annotation of a RefSeq genome assembly. Lineage: Eukaryota; Metazoa; Chordata; Aves; Suliformes; Phalacrocoracidae.
AUGGGGGGUGAUGGCGGGAGCGGGCGACUCAAUCCUGUCCUUCUUCCCUGCGCAGGGCUGCGGGCGGCCGUGCAGCUGGUCGAGUCCGGAGGGGGCCUCCAGACCCCCGGGGGGUCCCUGACCCUCCUCUGCAAGGCCUCCAGCUUCUCCAUCAGUGGCUACAGCAUGAGCUGGGUGCGACAGGCGCCCGGGAAGGGGCUCGAGUACGUCGCGGGUAUUGAUAGCGGUGGUAGCACAGGCUACGUGCCGUCGGUCCAGGGGCGCUUCACCCUCUCCAGGGACGACUCCCAGAGCACGGUCACGCUGCAGAUGAACAGCCUCAAGACCGACGACACGGGCACCCGCUGCUGCACAAAAGCUGAUUAUGGUGGUUUAUGGAUGGGAAAGAAACCCACAUCAAGUGGUUUUCAUUAA